GACGAACGCUGGCGGCGUGCUUAACACAUGCAAGUCGAACGGAAAGGCCCUGCUUUUGUGGGGUGCUCGAGUGGCGAACGGGUGAGUAACACGUGAGUAACCUGCCCUUGACUUUGGGAUAACUUCAGGAAACUGGGGCUAAUACCGGAUAGGAGCUCCUGCUGCAUGGUGGGGGUUGGAAAGUUUCGGCGGUUGGGGAUGGACUCGCGGCUUAUCAGCUGGUUGGUGGGGUAGUGGCUUACCAAGGCUUUGACGGGUAGCCGGCCUGAGAGGGUGACCGGCCACAUUGGGACUGAGAUACGGCCCAGACUCCUACGGGAGGCAGCAGUGGGGAAUAUUGCACAAUGGGCGGAAGCCUGAUGCAGCAACGCUGCGUGCGGGAUGACGGCCUUCGGGUUGUAAACCGCUUUCGCCUGUGACGAAGCGUGAGUGACGGUAAUGGGUAAAGAAGCACCGGCUAACUACGUG
This 468-nucleotide ribosomal RNA is filed under the name uncultured bacterium. Its description in RNAcentral is "partial 16S ribosomal RNA". It matches the Rfam family "Bacterial small subunit ribosomal RNA", at positions 28 to 507 of the family's 1533-position model. The record is from RNAcentral.